This 763-nucleotide long non-coding RNA is filed under the name Rattus norvegicus (Norway rat). RNAcentral describes it as "long non-coding RNA NONRATT018736". The stretch from base 691 to 759 matches the Rfam family "tRNA". Lineage: Eukaryota; Metazoa; Chordata; Mammalia; Rodentia; Muridae. The record is from RNAcentral.
AACUGGGGUUAGGUCCGCGGUAGGAGCCGCGCGUCAGGCUCCGCCGCCAGCCGGGGCUCGGGCUGGGGCCCGGGCCCCCGGGGAUGGCCCUCCGGCCCUCAGAGGGCGACGGCUCCGCCGGCCGCUGGAACCGCGGCUCAGGGAAGGCAGGUACGGAGGACUGGGCUGGGACGACGAGUGAGUGAGGGCCGCGGAGCGGCCGGGACCUGAGGGGGGCGGCGGCGGCGGAUGAGGAAGAGCCGGGCCUCGCCCAGGCCGCCGCCAGCCACGUCCGCAGAACCGACCGCCCGCGCUGGGCCGCUGCCCGAGCUCCGGCCUUCACUCUGCACUCGUGACCCUAAAAUUCCCCUCUGCACGCGUACACACAAACUCAAGAAAAGUCAUCACUGCCCAGUUCCAGAAACUCCGGUCGGUGAGCUCUCCACCUCACACUUCCUCCCUGUUCAGUUACUUUCUGACCCUUUCCUGGGCCAUCUGUGUUAGUGUUCAGACGUGCACAAAGCAAUGCUGUUUUCCAUACUCUUUCAGUCUAACCCAUUUCUGUGAAAUCUUUGCUUCAUUGUCCACGUGUUCUGGAAUACAUUUUCACUAUGGUGUGCUACUUGGUGAAAAUUCCUGAACCAGGUGAGCUAAUCCAUUUCCUGUCCUCUGACAGGUGAUGAGCAUAUUAGAACUGACCCUGUUGGGGUUGGGGAUUUAGCUCAGUGGUAGAGCGCUUGCCUAGGAAGCACAAGGCCCUGGGUUCGGUCCCCAGCUCCAAAAA